RNAcentral lists this ribosomal RNA (118 nucleotides) under Lepisosteus oculatus (spotted gar). The record is from RNAcentral. Lineage: Eukaryota; Metazoa; Chordata; Actinopteri; Semionotiformes; Lepisosteidae.
GCCAGCAACCAUAUUACCCUGCAACUCACAACUGGCAACUCCUUGAAGCUAAGCAGGUGUUAGCCUGGUCAGUACCUGGAUGAGAGACUUCAUGGGAAAGCUAAGGUUGCUGCUGGUA